UGCGUAGGUGGCGGGGUAAGUCUGGUGUGAAAGCUCCGAGCUCAACUCGGAAAAGCAUUGGAAACUAUCCCGCUGGAGGGUCGGAGGGGAGACUGGAAUUCUCGGUGUAGCAGUGAAAUGCGUAGAUAUCGAGAGGAACACCAGUGGCGAAGGCGAGUCUCUGGACGACUCCUGACACUGAGGCACGAAAGCUAGGGGAGCAAACA
Molecule: ribosomal RNA, 206 nt
Filed under: uncultured bacterium
Lineage: Bacteria
Description: partial 16S ribosomal RNA
Rfam family: Bacterial small subunit ribosomal RNA
Source: RNAcentral